AGAGUUUGAUCCUGGCUCAGGAUGAACGCUGGCGGCGUGCUUAACACAUGCAAGUCGAACGGACCCAUAUUGAAACCUAGUGAUAUAUGGGUUAGUGGCGGACGGGUGAGUAACGCGUGGGUAACCUGCCUUACACAGGGGGAUAACACUUAGAAAUAGGUGCUAAAACCGCAUAAGCGCACAGCUUCGCAUGAAGCGGUGUGAAAAACUCCGGUGGUGUAAGAUGGACCCGCGUCUGAUUAGCUUGUUGGCGGGGUAACGGCCCACCAAGGCGACGAUCAGUAGCCGGCCUGAGAGGGCGGACGGCCACAUUGGGACUGAGACACGGCCCAGACUCCUACGGGAGGCAGCAGUGGGGAAUAUUGCACAAUGGGGGAAACCCUGAUACAGCGACGCCGCGUGAGUGAAGAAGUAAUUCGUUACGUAAAGCUCUAUCAGCAGGGAAGAAAUACUGACCUUACGGUCAGCAGACGGUACCUGAGUAAGAAGCCCCGGCUAACUACGUG
RNAcentral lists this ribosomal RNA (506 nucleotides) under uncultured Eubacteriales bacterium. RNAcentral's name for it is "bacterial SSU rRNA". It matches the Rfam family "Bacterial small subunit ribosomal RNA", at positions 8 to 507 of the family's 1533-position model. The record is from RNAcentral. Lineage: Bacteria; Bacillati; Bacillota; Clostridia; Eubacteriales.